UCCUCUAAGGAUUUAAUUACCCUAUUUUAAUUAUUUUGUGUUCAAGACUCUUCGAUAUAUAUUUUUGUAGAUCGUUAAACCUCUCUGCUCUUUCGUCAAUACUUAUCAACGAUCUCAUAGUAUUGUUGAUUAGUGUAACUGCAUGAAGGGUGUUGGGAACAUUCUUUUCUCUCUAUUUUUUCCUCAUAGCCGAAUGGUGUUAAGACACAUUUGUUUUUCAUGUGUUAACAUUUUGUCCCUAUAUUCUUUGAAGGACCAAACAACGCCAAUCCAAG
Molecule: long non-coding RNA, 275 nt
Filed under: Gossypium barbadense (sea-island cotton)
Lineage: Eukaryota; Viridiplantae; Streptophyta; Magnoliopsida; Malvales; Malvaceae
Description: long non-coding RNA (GBAR_LNC021006)
Source: RNAcentral